AUACGGAGGGUGCAAGCGUUAUCCGGAUUUACGGGGUUUAAAGGGUGCGUAGGCGGGAUAGUAAGUCAGUGGUGAAAGCCUACAGCUUAACUGUAGAAUUGCCAUUGAAACUACUAUUCUUGAGUAUAGUUGAGGUGGGCGGAAUGUGGCAUGUAGCGGUGAAAUGCUUAGAUAUGCCACAGAACACCAAUUGCGAAGGCAACUCACUAAACUAUUACUGACGCUGAGGCACGAAAGCGUGGGUAGCGAACAGGAUUAGAAACCCUGGUAGUCC
RNAcentral lists this ribosomal RNA (274 nucleotides) under uncultured bacterium. RNAcentral's name for it is "partial 16S ribosomal RNA". It matches the Rfam family "Bacterial small subunit ribosomal RNA", at positions 523 to 796 of the family's 1533-position model. The record is from RNAcentral.